Molecule: long non-coding RNA, 1992 nt
Filed under: Gallus gallus (chicken)
Lineage: Eukaryota; Metazoa; Chordata; Aves; Galliformes; Phasianidae
Description: lncRNA (ENSGALG00010003418.1)
Source: RNAcentral
CGGGACUCGAGGAUCCUCGGGGGUCCCGUCCAGCACGGGGUGUUCCGUGGUCCCACGCGUGGAGCCGCCCUCCGGGAAGGUGUCUGCGGAAUCACAGAGUCGUAGAAUGGCUUAGCGUGGAAGGAACCUUAAAGAUCACCGAGCCCUAACUCCUGCCGCGGGCAGGGCUGCCCCCCACCAGCUCAGGCUGCUCAGGGCCCCGUCCAACCUGGCCUUGAGCGCCUCCGGGGAUGGGGAAGGUGGGCUGCGGUCGGAUGGGAGUGCUGCUUCUGGCACAGUGUCCGAGCUUACUUCUGUGAGGUCCUCAGAAAGAGCUGGCAUGAAGUCUGGACUUAACCUGCAAAUUAUCGGUGGUAAGCAUGCAGCUGCAGAAGACACAGAAAAAGCUGCUGUGGAAGGACAGCCCUUCCCCAGGCUGACAUUCCACAGUUGGGAAAUAUUGGAUUAAGCUUGCCUGCUAGGACCAUAGAAUGGCCUGGGUUGAAAAGGAUCUCAAAGAUCAUGUAGUUUCAACCCCCUGCUAUGUGCAGGGUCUCCAACCACCAGACCAGGCUGCCCAGAGCCACAUCCAGCCUGGCCUUGAAUGCCUCCAGGGAUGGGGCAUCCACAGCCUCCUUGGGCAACCUGUUCCAGUGUGUCAUCACCCUCUGAGUGAUGAUGUGGGCUGUCCUUACGCCUGUGGUCACUGUCAGCUCACAGGCACACACACCGGGCUCUGUGAGCGCAGGGAGCUGCCCCAGGGGCACACAGCCACCUACGGCUCCUUCUGCAGAGCUGACCCACUGGGUUGGACCCACUGCUGGCUUUUGGCACAGAUGCUUCAUGUGCCCUAAGACCUGGUCAGAACUGUUAAUGUCACUGUAUCCCUUACGCCAGAGUUUCUUCUGCAACAGGGUGGUUUUUAUCCUCAGUAUUGGAGCAUGGCCUGCACUGCUCUUCCCACCCAAUAGAGUCAAAGUAUGUUAUUCAUUAUUCACCGAAAGGUACUUUAAUAUUUCACCUGAGUUUCAUUAAUGGGACAGGGAAUGGAAAGGCUAAGUUUUAAUGCUAUGGAAGGGACGGCAGCCAUCCAAACUGGAGUGGGCUCACAAGACACAGACUUGCAGGAAGCAGCAUCAUAACCCUCACCAGGGAUAAAACCUGGCAUUUAGGGAAGCGGCUGUCAGGCACUCAUCCUGCAUCUCUCUUCAACAUCCUUAUGAGCCACGGACUCAGGCCAGCGCACACAGUCAAACGAAGCCAGUGUCAGACAGCAGUCCGCUUGUCUGAAAGAUGCAGGUCCUGCCAACCCUGUGACUCUCCACAGCAGUAAGUGUAUCUUCAUUUUGGAGGUCCUGUAGCAUUUCUAUCCUGCCCUCUCUGAGUUGUUGCCAUUAAUUUUUUAGCUUUUCAUUACUUACCUCCUCUCUGAAGAGCCCCUCCGACAGGCCUGUCCCCCUGUCCUGACUGCGGGGCAACAGAGUGCCAGGGGCUGAAGUUAAACUUCAGUUAACAGUUUGUGCUUGCAGCCCAUAAGGGCAACUGUAUCCUGGGCUGCAUCAGAAGAGGGGUGGCCGGCAGGGAGAGGAAGGGGAUUGUCCCCCUCUACUCUGCCCUUGUGAGGCCCCACCUGCAACACUGCGUCCAGGCCUGGGGCUCCAGCACAAGAAUGAUGUGAAGCUGCUGGAGCAAGUCCAGAGUAGGGCCACAAAGACGAUCAGAGUGCUGGAGCACCUCUCAGAUGAAGUCAGGCUAGGGGAUUUGGGGUUGUUCAGCCUGAAGAAGAGAAAGUUCUGAGGAGACCUCAUUGUGGCCUUCUGGUACUAAAAGAGAUCUUACAAAUGGAAGUGGAACUGACUUUUUACACUCUCUGACAGUGACAGGACAGGAAGGAUGGCUUUUAACUAAAAGAGGGGAGGUUUGGUUUAGAUGUUGGGAGGAAAUUCUUUCCUCAGAGCGCAGUGAGGCACUGGCACAGCUGCCCAGAGAAGCUGUGGUGCCCCAUCCCUGGAG